UCUAAAGGCCAUACCUCCCCGAAAGCAAUCGAUGUUGUCUGAGCUCAGAUGCUAAGCACGCUUGGGCCUGGUUAGUAAUGAGAUGGGAGGAAAAGGUAAGAGUGUAUAGCA
RNAcentral lists this ribosomal RNA (111 nucleotides) under Echinops telfairi (small Madagascar hedgehog). The record is from RNAcentral. Lineage: Eukaryota; Metazoa; Chordata; Mammalia; Afrosoricida; Tenrecidae.